GUAAAGCACUUUCAGUAGGGAGGAAGGUAGUGUAGUUAACACCUGCAUUAUUUGACGUUACCUACACGAAGAAGCACCGGCUAACUCCGUGCCAGCAGCCGCGGUAAUACGGAGGGUGCGAGCGUUAAUCGGAAUUACUGGGCGUAAAGCGCAUGCAGGCGGCCUCGUUAAGUCAGAUGUGAAAGCCCGGGGCGUUAACCUCGGAAUUGCAUUUGAAACUGGCAGGCUAGAGUCUUGUAGAGGGGGUAGGAAUUUCAGGUGUAGCGGUGAAAUAGCGUAGAGAUCUGAAGGAAUACCAGUGGCGAAGGCGGCCCCCUCGGACAAAGACUGACGCUCAGAUGCGAAAGCGUGGGGAGCAAACAGGAUUAGAUACCCUGGUAG
RNAcentral lists this ribosomal RNA (381 nucleotides) under uncultured bacterium. RNAcentral describes it as "bacterial SSU rRNA". It matches the Rfam family "Bacterial small subunit ribosomal RNA", at positions 425 to 793 of the family's 1533-position model. The record is from RNAcentral.